Cicer arietinum (chickpea) is the source of this 396-nucleotide non-coding RNA. The record is from RefSeq and is a predicted model, not a curated record. NCBI's taxonomy places the organism in Eukaryota, Viridiplantae, Streptophyta, Magnoliopsida, Fabales, Fabaceae.
AUAUACAAGAUGGACACUACAAGGAAAUCUGCUCUCACAAUUGUAUUCUUAUUGGCUUUCUUCAUCCUUACAUCAGAUAUGUGCAUGAAAUCGGAAGCUUGUAAAAUUGAUGGAGAAUGUCAAUCUGAAUGUCCACCUGGAAAACAUGGAUGUUGUAUUAGUGGGCGGUGUUGGUGUUUUGUUGCGCCACCAUCUUCUACUCUUAAUAUUCCUGGUGUAACACCCCAAAUUGUAAAUUGUGUUUAGUUUAAUAUUUUCAAUUGAUCUAAAAGGUGUCAGAUCAACAACAAGAGUUAAAAUAUAUAAUUUUCAUGGAUAGUUGCAGAAGGAAUGUUAGUGUGAUCUUAAUAAAUAAUAAUAUCUCAAAUUUCAAGUUCACUACUUGAAUAUUGUGAG